RNAcentral lists this ribosomal RNA (471 nucleotides) under uncultured bacterium. Its description in RNAcentral is "partial 16S ribosomal RNA". It matches the Rfam family "Bacterial small subunit ribosomal RNA", at positions 28 to 507 of the family's 1533-position model. The record is from RNAcentral.
GACGAACGCUGGCGGCGUGCUUAACACAUGCAAGUCGAACGAUGAAGCCUAGCUUGCUAGGUGGAUUAGUGGCGAACGGGUGAGUAAUACGUGAGUAACCUACCUUUAACUCUGGGAUAAGCCUGGGAAACUGGGUCUAAUACCGGAUACGACCAAUCUCCGCAUGGGGUGUUGGUGGAAAGCGUUAUGUAGUGGUUAUAGAUGGGCUCACGGCCUAUCAGCUUGUUGGUGAGGUAACGGCUCACCAAGGCGACGACGGGUAGCCGGCCUGAGAGGGUGACCGGCCACACUGGGACUGAGACACGGCCCAGACUCCUACGGGAGGCAGCAGCGGGGAAUAUUGCACAAUGGGCGCAAGCCUGAUGCAGCGACGCCGCGUGAGGGAUGACGGCCUUCGGGUUGUAAACCUCUGUUAGCAGGGAAGAAGAGAAAUUGACGGUACCUGCAGAGAAAGCGCCGGCUAACUACGUG